UACAGAGGUCUCAACCGUUGUUCGGAUUCAUUGGGCGUAAAGGGUGCGUAGGCGGUCGUGCAAGUCGGAUGUGAAAUCUCAGGGCUCAACCCUGAAACUGCAUUCGAUACUGCGUGGCUAGGGUGCUGGAGAGGAGACUGGAAUUUACGGUGUAGCAGUGAAAUGCGUAGAUAUCAGGAGGAACACCGGUGGCGAAGGCGGGUCUCUGGGCAACAACUGACGCUGAGGAGCGAAAGCGUGGGGAGCGAACAGG
RNAcentral lists this ribosomal RNA (253 nucleotides) under uncultured bacterium. RNAcentral describes it as "partial 16S ribosomal RNA". It matches the Rfam family "Bacterial small subunit ribosomal RNA", at positions 524 to 776 of the family's 1533-position model. The record is from RNAcentral.